AAAUGAAUAGACGGGGGCCCGCACAAGCGGUGGAGUAUGUGGUUUAAUUCGAAGCAACGCGCAGAACCUUACCUGGGCUUAACAUCCCCUGACACCUGCAGAGAUGUAGGGUUCCCUUCGGGGACAGGGAGAUAGGUGCUGCAUGGCUGUCGUCAGCUCGUGUCGUAAGAUGUUGGGUUAAGUCCCGCAACGAGCGCAACCCUUGUCCUUAGUUGCCACCAUUAAGUUGGGCACUCUGAGGAGACUGCCGGUGUUAAACCGGAGGAAGGCGGGGAUGACGUCAAGUCCUCAUGGCCCUUACGUCCAGGGCUACACACGUACUACAAUGGCAGAGACAAAGGGUCGCGAAGCCGCGAGGUGAAGCUAAUCCCAAAAACACUGUCUCAGUCCGGAUUGAAGUCUGCAACUCGACUUCAUGAAGCUGGAAUCGCUAGUAAUCGCAGAUCAGCACGCUGCGGUGAAUACGUUCCCGGGCCUUGUACACACCGCCCGU
RNAcentral lists this ribosomal RNA (493 nucleotides) under uncultured bacterium. Its description in RNAcentral is "bacterial SSU rRNA". It matches the Rfam family "Bacterial small subunit ribosomal RNA", at positions 903 to 1397 of the family's 1533-position model. The record is from RNAcentral.